AGCUGGGUCUUGCGCAAUGGAAGGUUGCAAAUCCCGCCAGGUCCGGAAGGAAGCAACGGUAGCAACAUGAUUCUAUGUGCCGCAAGGGUGCCUAGCUAUC
This 100-nucleotide signal recognition particle RNA is filed under the name Deltaproteobacteria bacterium GWA2_42_85. RNAcentral describes it as "signal recognition particle sRNA small type". It matches the Rfam family "Bacterial small signal recognition particle RNA". Rfam says of the family: The signal recognition particle (SRP) is a universally conserved ribonucleoprotein involved in the co-translational targeting of proteins to membranes. Archaeal SRP consists of a 7S RNA and homologues of the eukaryotic SRP19 and SRP54 proteins. RNAcentral also lists the same sequence under 7 other names. The record is from RNAcentral. Lineage: Bacteria; Deltaproteobacteria.